CUUCUGGCAUUCCCCCUUCUCACUCCUCUCUCGGGGGGGCCCCUUCCCCUUUGCGUUGGGUGGGCAAUGGAUGCGUGGGCUGCAGCCGGCUGGGCCCCCUGGGUGCUGACAAGGUGGGACCCUCGGGGCACCUGGAAGACCCGCUGCGCUGCGCACUAGCCACACCAGGGGAGCCCGGAGCCCUGCGAUACACUUUCACCCUGUGCUGGAGGCAGAAGACCCCGAGGUUUCUGAGCGAGGCCCAUGGAUGGCGAAGUCUUCCUGAGUCCCAGACCCCAUGUUCUCCUCCCGUGGUCAUUAUGAUGCCCUGCAGGACGGUGGCUCAGGGCCCCCAGAUCCGGCCCCCCUGGGCCCACCCAGCACCUUGCAGGUCACACGGUCCCACCGGAUGAGCGGCAGCUGCGAGGGGCCCCCUCUGAAGCGGCGGGGUGGCCUGGUGGACCACCGGGAUGUCAUCUUGGCCCACCAGGCGCACAAAAUCCAAAGCACCCCCCAGGCCAGGAGGAAGGAAUGGGAGGAAGAAGAGUGGUUGGAUUCUGACAGUGUUCUCUGUGGGUCCAUUACCAGUGAUGGGGAAGAGAAGAAUGAACUAAAUUAGAAGAUGCGUUUGGCUAGCUCAGGGAGCAAUGGUGAAGAGCCAGCUGGAAUGAAACGGACACAUCUUCCUCCCUUUGCCCAUCCUAUUCCCCCACCCUCUCCCCAGACAAAUUAUUUCUCAUUGUUUAUGGGGAUCCAGAGAGGUUCCGCAUGGCAGGUGGGCACUGAGGGCAGGGGCUGGCCCCAUGGCAGGAGAUGAGAGAAAGGCCUGCUGCUGCCAAGAGCCACCCACUCCUUUAUCUGCCUGUCUCCGAGGUCCCUCUGUUUCCUGCCCACACACCUUGCCUGCUAUGUAAUCAGAGGAGAGACGGACGCACCAGCCCUCCAGCCAUUCUCGGUGGUACAGCCUUUUGUUUUUCGUAUCCUUUUUAAAAAUAAACCCAUUG
This is a long non-coding RNA of Myotis davidii, 983 nucleotides long. RefSeq lists it as uncharacterized. The record is from RefSeq and is a predicted model, not a curated record. The transcript has 3 exons. NCBI's taxonomy places the organism in Eukaryota, Metazoa, Chordata, Mammalia, Chiroptera, Vespertilionidae.